Molecule: ribosomal RNA, 302 nt
Filed under: uncultured bacterium
Lineage: Bacteria
Description: bacterial SSU rRNA
Rfam family: Bacterial small subunit ribosomal RNA
Source: RNAcentral
AUCGCAUGAUCGAAAUAUCAAAGCUUUUGCGGUAUAGGAUGGACCCGCGUCUGAUUAGCUAUUGGUAAGGUAAUGGCGUUACCAAGGCACGAUCAGUAGCCGACCUGAGAGGGUGAUCGGCCACAUUGGAACUGAGACACGGUCCAAACUCCUACGGGAGGCAGCAGUGGGGAAUNUUGCACAAUGGGCGAAAGCCUGAUGCAGCAACGCCGCGUGAGCGAUGAAGGCCUUCGGGUCGUAAAGCUCUGUCCUCAAGGAAGAUAAUGACGGUACUUGAGGAGGAAGCCCCGGCUAACUACGUG